UUGAACGCUGGCGGCAUGCCUUACCCCUGCAAGUCGAACGGCAGCACGGGUGCUUGCACCUGGUGGCGAGUGGCGAACGGGUGAGUAAUACAUCGGAACAUGUCCUGUAGUGGGGGAUAGCCCGGCGAAAGCCGGAUUAAUACCGCAUACGAUCUACGGAUGAAAGCGGGGGACCUUCGGGCCUCGCGCUAUAGGGUUGGCCGAUAGCUGAUUAGCUAGUUGGUGGGGUAAAGGCCUACCAAGGCGACGAUCAGUAGCUGGUCUGAGAGGACGACCAGCCACACUGGGACUGAGACACGGCCCAGACUCCUACGGGAGGCAGCAGUGGGGAAUUUUGGACAAUGGGCGAAAGCCUGAUCCAGCAAUGCCGCGUGUGUGAAGAAGGCCUUCGGGUUGUAAAGCACUUUUGUCCGGAAAGAAAUCCUUGGCUCUAAUACAGUCGGGGGAUGACGGUACCGGAAGAAUAAGCACCGGCUAACUACGUG
This 485-nucleotide ribosomal RNA is filed under the name uncultured bacterium. RNAcentral's name for it is "partial 16S ribosomal RNA". It matches the Rfam family "Bacterial small subunit ribosomal RNA", at positions 30 to 507 of the family's 1533-position model. The record is from RNAcentral.